Papaver somniferum (opium poppy) is the source of this 1237-nucleotide long non-coding RNA. RefSeq lists it as uncharacterized. The record is from RefSeq and is a predicted model, not a curated record. The transcript has 5 exons. NCBI's taxonomy places the organism in Eukaryota, Viridiplantae, Streptophyta, Magnoliopsida, Ranunculales, Papaveraceae.
CUCCUUCUGCUUCUUCAUUCUCUCUAGGUAUAUGGCUAACCCUGAGAUUUCACUGCUGGUUUUCUCAGGUGGAACUGAAAUUAAUGGCGUCGUUGAAGAUAUGAAAAAGUUGACAACUAGGUGUUUCUGAUGAAGGACUGCAGAAAUUGUUCAGUGUACUUGGUGUUGGAGGCAUUAGAUGAAUUUCGAUCGAGACGUUUGAGACUGCAUGUCAGAUGAAAUCACUGAAGCUCUUGCUAUAUGAAGAUUGCUUGGACACCGUUACAUCUUGAUUGAGAACACGCGAAAUCAGAAUGAAAGUAGAAUUUAGCAGCCAGCACCUUUUUUCUAAGGGGUAACUCUGCCCAAAAACUGUUGAUGAAGGCACAGAAGAGUGGAUCGCACGCUGUGUUAUAACUUGCAACAUAUUCCAUCAUCUGCUGGUAGAACUGCGCUGUCAAAGUCAGUUUUAUCUUCUAUUGCAACACUCUUAAUGGUCGAGUGUAUUCUUCUAAAAGGUGUUCUUCAACAUAUUAUGAAGAUACAAAGGUCUUUCUGGUGCGGAUAUGACACAUCACACGUAAAGCUUUACUUCAUAUCAUGGAAUUAUGGAAAAAGAUUUGCAAGUAAAAGAUGGAUGGUGGUAUUGGGCGUUAGAGACACGGAAUUUAUAAAUAAGUCUCUGGUGGUUAAACUAGCCUGGAGAUUCCUUACAAACCCAAAUGUAAUGUAGGUUGAAAUUCCAAAGGCUAGCCUGGAGAUUCCUUACAAACCCAAAUGUAAUGUAGGUUGUUCAUCAACAUGUAGUGGCAUAAUUUCAGUUAGACCAAUACUAGCAGAUAACUGCUGCUGGCUAGUUGGAAAUGGCUCUUCUAUCAGAAUAUGGGAAGACCCAUGGACUCCAGGUUUCAAACCUUCUAUAGUAUGUUUGUGAAUUGUUGUCUCUGCAACAACUAACACAGGUUUGGAAUGUUCUUCACUCACUAUUCUCUCCAACUGAAGUUACUGCUACCAGUUCCAUCCACAUUAUGGGAGACAAUGAACUGAAAGAUCGGCUUGAUUAAAAACACCCACAGGUAACUUUACAGCGAAUUCUUGUUACAAGUUAUUGGCUGGUAAUAUACCUUCAUGCUCUAGUUUGCCUAGAAAUUAUUUUGGAGAAAUAAGCAAAAGUCUCCUAGAAGUCAGACCUUUGUGUGACAAUUUUUACAUAACGGCAUUGGUGUGAGGUAUAACAUACAUUGUUUCAUAAAUAAAU